RNAcentral lists this ribosomal RNA (947 nucleotides) under Azotobacter sp. Its description in RNAcentral is "partial 16S ribosomal RNA". The record is from RNAcentral. Lineage: Bacteria; Pseudomonadati; Pseudomonadota; Gammaproteobacteria; Pseudomonadales; Pseudomonadaceae.
UCAUGCACUCGAGUUGCAGAGUGCAAUCCGGACUACGAUCGGUUUUCUGGGAUUAGCUCCCCCUCGCGGGUUGGCAACCCUCUGUUCCGACCAUUGUAUGACGUGUGAAGCCCUACCCAUAAGGGCCAUGAGGACUUGACGUCAUCCCCACCUUCCUCCGGUUUGUCACCGGCAGUCUCCUUAGAGUGCUCUUGCGUAGCAACUAAGGACAAGGGUUGCGCUCGUUGCGGGACUUAACCCAACAUCUCACGACACGAGCUGACGACAGCCAUGCAGCACCUGUGCGCCGGUUCUCUUUCGAGCACUCCCGCCUCUCAGCAGGAUUCCGACCAUGUCAAGGGUAGGUAAGGUUUUUCGCGUUGCAUCGAAUUAAUCCACAUCAUCCACCGCUUGUGCGGGUCCCCGUCAAUUCCUUUGAGUUUUAAUCUUGCGACCGUACUCCCCAGGCGGUCAACUUCACGCGUUAGCUACGUUACUAAGGAAAUGAAUCCCCAACAACUAGUUGACAUCGUUUAGGGCGUGGACUACCAGGGUAUCUAAUCCUGUUUGCUCCCCACGCUUUCGUGCAUGAGCGUCAGUAUUGGCCCAGGGGGCUGCCUUCGCCAUCGGUAUUCCUCCACAUCUCUACGCAUUUCACUGCUACACGUGGAAUUCUACCCCCCUCUGCCAUACUCUAGCCUGCCAGUCACCAAUGCAGUUCCCAGGUUGAGCCCGGGGAUUUCACAUCGGUCUUAGCAAACCGCCUGCGCACGCUUUACGCCCAGUAAUUCCGAUAAACGCUGCACCCUACGUAUUACCGCGGCUGCUGGCACGUAGUAGCCGUGCUUAUUCUUCCGGUACCGUCAUCCCCCGACUGUAUAGAGCAUGAUUUCUUUCAUGACAAAGUGCUUACACCCGAAGCUCUCACACACGCGGCAUGCUGGAUCAGCCUUCGCCAUGUCCAAAUC